Molecule: transfer RNA, 76 nt
Filed under: Aporhodopirellula sallentina SM41
Lineage: Bacteria; Pseudomonadati; Planctomycetota; Planctomycetia; Pirellulales; Pirellulaceae
Description: Rhodopirellula sallentina SM41 tRNA-Ala
Rfam family: tRNA
About the family: Transfer RNA (tRNA) molecules are approximately 80 nucleotides in length. Their secondary structure includes four short double-helical elements and three loops (D, anti-codon, and T loops).
Source: RNAcentral
GGGGGAUUAGCUCAGUUGGGAGAGCGCCUGCAUGGCAUGCAGGAGGUCAUCGGUUCAAGUCCGUUAUCCUCCAUCA